This 1451-nucleotide ribosomal RNA is filed under the name Weissella confusa. RNAcentral's name for it is "bacterial SSU rRNA". It matches the Rfam family "Bacterial small subunit ribosomal RNA". The record is from RNAcentral. Lineage: Bacteria; Bacillati; Bacillota; Bacilli; Lactobacillales; Lactobacillaceae.
ACAUGCAAGUCGAACGCUUUGUGGUUCAACUGAUUUGAAGAGCUUGCUCAGAUAUGACGAUGGACAUUGCAAAGAGUGGCGAACGGGUGAGUAACACGUGGGAAACCUACCUCUUAGCAGGGGAUAACAUUUGGAAACAGAUGCUAAUACCUGUAUAACAAUGACAACCGCAUGGUUGUUAUUUAAAAGAUGGUUCUGCUAUCACUAAGAGAUGGUCCCGCGGUGCAUUAGCUAGUUGGUAAGGUAAUGGCUUACCAAGGCGAUGAUGCAUAGCCGAGUUGAGAGACUGAUCGGCCACAAUGGGACUGAGACACGGCCCAUACUCCUACGGGAGGCAGCAGUAGGGAAUCUUCCACAAUGGGCGAAAGCCUGAUGGAGCAACGCCGCGUGUGUGAUGAAGGGUUUCGGCUCGUAAAACACUGUUGUAAGAGAAGAAUGACAUUGAGAGUAACUGUUCAAUGUGUGACGGUAUCUUACCAGAAAGGAACGGCUAAAUACGUGCCAGCAGCCGCGGUAAUACGUAUGUUCCAAGCGUUAUCCGGAUUUAUUGGGCGUAAAGCGAGCGCAGACGGUUAUUUAAGUCUGAAGUGAAAGCCCUCAGCUCAACUGAGGAAUUGCUUUGGAAACUGGAUGACUUGAGUGCAGUAGAGGAAAGUGGAACUCCAUGUGUAGCGGUGAAAUGCGUAGAUAUAUGGAAGAACACCAGUGGCGAAGGCGGCUUUCUGGACUGUAACUGACGUUGAGGCUCGAAAGUGUGGGUAGCAAACAGGAUUAGAUACCCUGGUAGUCCACACCGUAAACGAUGAGUGCUAGGUGUUUGAGGGUUUCCGCCCUUAAGUGCCGCAGCUAACGCAUUAAGCACUCCGCCUGGGGAGUACGACCGCAAGGUUGAAACUCAAAGGAAUUGACGGGGACCCGCACAAGCGGUGGAGCAUGUGGUUUAAUUCGAAGCAACGCGAAGAACCUUACCAGGUCUUGACAUCCCUUGACAACUCCAGAGAUGGAGCGUUCCCUUCGGGGACAAGGUGACAGGUGGUGCAUGGUUGUCGUCAGCUCGUGUCGUGAGAUGUUGGGUUAAGUCCCGCAACGAGCGCAACCCUUAUUACUAGUUGCCAGCAUUCAGUUGGGCACUCUAGUGAGACUGCCGGUGACAAACCGGAGGAAGGUGGGGAUGACGUCAAAUCAUCAUGCCCCUUAUGACCUGGGCUACACACGUGCUACAAUGGCGUAUACAACGAGUUGCCAACCCGCGAGGGUGAGCUAAUCUCUUAAAGUACGUCUCAGUUCGGAUUGUAGGCUGCAACUCGCCUACAUGAAGUCGGAAUCGCUAGUAAUCGCGGAUCAGCACGCCGCGGUGAAUACGUUCCCGGGUCUUGUACACACCGCCCGUCACACCAUGAGAGUUUGUAACACCCAAAGCCGGUGGGGUAACCUUCGGGAGCCAGCCGUCU